GAUGAACGCUGGCGGCGUGCCUAACACAUGCAAGUCGAACGGAGUCGUUUUGGAAAUCUCUUCGGAGAUGGAAUUCUCGACUUAGUGGCGGACGGGUGAGUAACGCGUGAGCAAUCUGCCUUUAAGAGGGGGAUAACAGUCGGAAACGGCUGCUAAUACCGCAUAAAGCAUUAAAUUCGCAUGUUUUUGAUGCCAAAGGAGCAAUCCGCUUUUAGAUGAGCUCGCGUCUGAUUAGCUAGUUGGCGGGGUAACGGCCCACCAAGGCGACGAUCAGUAGCCGGACUGAGAGGUUGAACGGCCACAUUGGGACUGAGACACGGCCCAGACUCCUACGGGAGGCAGCAGUGGGGAAUAUUGCGCAAUGGGGGAAACCCUGACGCAGCAACGCCGCGUGAUUGAAGAAGGCCUUCGGGUUGUAAAGAUCUUUAAUCAGGGACGAAACAAAUGACGGUACCUGAAGAAUAAGCUCCGGCUAACUACGUG
RNAcentral lists this ribosomal RNA (483 nucleotides) under uncultured bacterium. Its description in RNAcentral is "partial 16S ribosomal RNA". It matches the Rfam family "Bacterial small subunit ribosomal RNA", at positions 28 to 507 of the family's 1533-position model. The record is from RNAcentral. RNAcentral also lists the same sequence under 1 other name.